RNAcentral lists this transfer RNA (65 nucleotides) under Alpheus lobidens. Its description in RNAcentral is "tRNA-Leu". The record is from RNAcentral. Lineage: Eukaryota; Metazoa; Arthropoda; Malacostraca; Decapoda; Alpheidae.
AUUACCUUGGCAGAGCAUGCAUUAGAUUUAGGAUCUAAAUAGAUAGUAUAGUACUAUAGGUAAUA